RNAcentral lists this ribosomal RNA (511 nucleotides) under uncultured bacterium. RNAcentral describes it as "bacterial SSU rRNA". It matches the Rfam family "Bacterial small subunit ribosomal RNA", at positions 15 to 518 of the family's 1533-position model. The record is from RNAcentral.
GAUUAUGGCUCAGGAUGAACGCUAGCUACAGGCUUAACACAUGCAAGUCGAGGGGCAGCAUUGGAGUAGCAAUACUCAGAUGGCGACCGGCGCACGGGUGAGUAACACGUAUCCAACCUGCCGCUUACUCGGGGAUAGCCUUUCGAAAGAAAGAUUAAUACCCGAUGGUAUAAAGAGUUCGCAUGUUCUCUUUAUUAAAGAAUUUCGGUAAGCGAUGGGGAUGCGUUCCAGUUAGAUAGUUGGCGGGGUAACGGCCCACCAAGUCUACGAUGGAUAGGGGUUCUGAGAGGAAGGUCCCCCACAUUGGAACUGAGACACGGUCCAAACUCCUACGGGAGGCAGCAGUGAGGAAUAUUGGUCAAUGGACGAGAGUCUGAACCAGCCAAGUAGCGUGAAGGAUGACUGCCCUAUGGGUUGUAAACUUCUUUUAUAAGGGAAUAAAGUGAGGGACGUGUCCCUUUUUGUAUGUACCUUAUGAAUAAGGAUCGGCUAACUCCGUGCCAGCAGCUGC